UGUAAGCGUAUACCAAAGUUGUUGCAGUUAAAACGCUCGUAGUCGGAAUUUGGCAGUUCCGGAUGUGUGCACGUCGUGUGCGCACUUCGCGGGGAUUGCUUUUGUGGUCUUGCGUAGGAUGAGGCACUUUUAUUAGUGAACGUCCUCACGCAACCACUUUUUACUGUGAGAAAAUCAGAGUGCUCAAAGCAGGCAUUUGCCGUGAAUGUAUUAGCAUGGAAUAAUAGAAUAGGACUUGGUUCUAUUUUGUUGGUUUGUUGGGACUGAGUAAUGAUUAAGAGGGACAGUUGGGGGCAUUUGUAUUUCGGUGCUAGAGGUGAAAUUCUUAGAUUACCGAAAGACAAACUGCUGCGAAAGCGUCUGCCAAGGAUGUUUUCAGUGA
RNAcentral lists this ribosomal RNA (382 nucleotides) under uncultured eukaryote. RNAcentral's name for it is "partial 18S ribosomal RNA". It matches the Rfam family "Eukaryotic small subunit ribosomal RNA", at positions 592 to 976 of the family's 1831-position model. The record is from RNAcentral.